CGAAUCGUUGUCCUCGAGUUCGUGCACUUCAGGAAGAAGACGGCUCGAGGUGAGACGUCACGCAUCCGUCGUGCGGAGGUAGAGGUGAGCGCCUCUCCACUUCCCCCAUUUCCUCCGUCUCUCUCUGGUCUGAUCCUUUUUAUUUUGCAGCUUGACAUAUAGGUUAGUGUGUGUGUGUGUGUGCAGCAGCUCUAGAGGGACCAAGGUCGAGGUAGACACUGCUCCUAUCGAGGCUAGCCUGCCGUAGGGACGAAUCAGGUCCCUAGACCCUUAUGAGCCCUAAUUUUCAUGGAGCAAGGUGCAUCUUGCCGCUUUUGCUUUUGGUAAAAAGGAAUCCCUAUUGUUAUGUUGGUAGCCUCUUUGCAAGUUUAUUCUGCCUUUUUGACAUUUUUUGUUCUAUCUUGCUAUGCAUUGUAUCAUAUUACAGUUGUGUGCUCAAACCAACUGAGCUUAAUUCACAUAUAUAGAUAUUUAAGAAUGUGGGGAUGAUGCCCAAUUGGCAAGGUUUGCAAUAUUGUAGGAACCAUUUGGAGAUGGGUUGUAGAUAUUAAGCUAUGUAGGAGAUGAUUUUGAGGUAACAAGCCUUCAGCUUGCUUUCUGUUAACCUUUGUAUGCAUGGGUUCAGUUUGAUGCAAUCUAGGCAUUGUUUGUUGUCGAAUGGAUUAUUUUUUCCUGCUAGGUAACAUCUGAUGCUUGGAAUGCAUUAUUUCUGAUGGCCCAGAAAAAAACUCUUUGUACAUAUUUUUUUGUUUAUAUGCAUACAAGAUGCAUGUUUAUGCCUCAUACCUGCUGAUUUAUAUGACUGAGGAACUCUCUUUCUUCCUAGAUGUGUCCAUAUGCUCUUCAUUGAUAUAACAUCUUCUUACUUGUAUAUUAUUCACAUAUAGCAUCUCAUUUCUUGGUUGAUUGCUUAUAUAUAUAUAUUCAACUUCUCUUUCCUGGCAUUCACAUAUUACAAGCUAAAUAAAGUUUUCCAUUCCUUCUGGCCACUUAUAGAUGUAACUAGAAGCAUGGAUGAUCUGUGAUGCUGGCAAUUUUCAGAUUGCACCCAUUUAAUUAUAGCACAAUAUAUCACAUUUGUGGUAAAUUUAGAAAAGCUUGUGCGUACCCUUUUAGUAGUCAAUAUGGUUCAGAUGCAGUAUUUUUUAUUUCCUUUUUUGCUUUCAGCACACACAUAUGGCAUUGAAGUUCUUUAUCAUGUAUGUAGGCAGAUUAGUUGUGUCACUUACUGAUGCUCUUAUGGUACAGUACACUAUUAGGGUGUUGGGCCCAGAAAAAGGAAGAGUAAUCCUCUUCCAAGGUUAAUUUUGUGCCUACUUCUUUAUGUACAUAACUCAUGAUUUGACAAAUAGUUAAGUUCCCUAUAGUUUAGUAUUUCUUUCUCUUUCUCUUUCCUAUUUAUGGUUCUGGAACAAAACUUCCAUCCUUUUCUACAAAAUUAGAAGAGAAAAAAAAUGUUGACAGAUGAUUAUGAUUGCUUAUUUAUUUUCUUGGUGUUAGAUUACUAAUGUUGAGAACUAUAAUUUUUAUUGAUGGUCGCUCGAUGGCGCUGAGCACCAUGUGAGGUCAUUAUAAUUCAUAUAUGAGUCAACAUCUUCUUCCGCUGCUAAUUAGCAGUGUUUGGUCUAUUUAAUUUCAAACAUAUCUAUUAUUCGCCAAGGCUCCUGCCUACUUCCAUAAUGAUGCUAUCCCAUAAUUAGAUUGGUGUCUAAAACUGAGCCCCCUCUUAACUCCAUUUCUCUGCAGUAAAUGAAGCCCAUAGGUGGAGGGAUUUGGAUGAUCUGUAGUCAAAGGAUACCAUCAAGCAAGCGGACGCACAAGGAGGGUCGCCCCGGAGUAGAGGUAGAGGACGUUGCCAGCUGCAUCUCUCUCUGACCUAAAGCCCACCUUGGCAUGGAUGUGAUCAGCGUUGAUCCCCAACAUUGGCAAGCAUUGUAAGUUCCCUCUUCUUAUGUUUCUGGUAUAAAUAUACCACAUAUAUGUUCAUAUGCAGAAGAUAAAGAUAGACUAUUAUCGGCGGUUAUUUUACUUAGUUGUAGAUACUGAAUAGUUUGUUUAAAUUAUGAUAGUUUAAAAGAAGUAUUAUGGUGUAGUGCAAUAAUAAUUUUAAUUUAAAAUUGCUGACCUUGCAUCAUAUUUUUGUUGUGUAUGUGGGCAGUGUGUUCAAGUUGAUCUGGAACAAUUUGAAGGGUUUCCUCGACACAAAAUCUUAAGCCAAGGUUUACUUAAGCACCUCGAAUUAAACGUGUAGAAGUUUAAAAUUGUAAUGUUUCAGGUUCUUUGCCACAUUAUGUAUGUUUUGUUAUUUUUUUUAAUAAUUGGACCUAUUUGCUAUGUGGAACAUGUAGCAUUUACUUGAUCAUAAUCUAAUUCAAUUUUUGACCACCGUCUUUUUGGCUCUUGGUUUCAACAUUUGCAGUAUCGGUUAGUCAUUGUCUUGACACGACAUUUUAGGCAACGACUCCAACUUCUUGAGCCAUUCUCUAUAUAUGAAUGAGCCUCGCCGUUAAAUAAACGAACAAUGUUUCCUCCAUAUAUGAAUGACACAAUGACACUAUGGAUUUUCCAGUCAACUGAUCAUCCUAAUCCUCAUCCUGUAUUCAAUACAUUUAUGUUCCAUUGCUAACUAACGUUCAUUUGUGAUGUCUUCCUCAGGAUGGAAAUGUUCCUCGACACAAUGACGAACAUCAACGUAGGAACAACCUUUUUAUUUUAUUUUUUGUUGCCUCUACUGUAUUGUUAUUGCCACAAAGAUUUACCUGGACACAGAGCCAUCAUGAUGUGUUUAAAAAUGGUUACAUUAUCCUUUUUCUAACCUGACGGUGUUAGAAACAUCUUAGCAUUCAAGCAGGUUUAGUUCAUUGUUUAUUAAUUCCAAUUAUGUAAAAAAAUCACUGAUUAUCGCUUGACAGAAAAUAUUUUGAUAUGCCAUCAUGUGCAUGGGCGAAGAACCUGGAUGUUAUUUACAUGUUUUGGAUAAUUGAUGAUUCUUUU
RNAcentral lists this long non-coding RNA (2994 nucleotides) under Triticum aestivum (bread wheat). RNAcentral describes it as "long non-coding RNA (TAES_LNC028145)". Lineage: Eukaryota; Viridiplantae; Streptophyta; Magnoliopsida; Poales; Poaceae. The record is from RNAcentral.